RNAcentral lists this ribosomal RNA (321 nucleotides) under uncultured bacterium. RNAcentral describes it as "bacterial SSU rRNA". It matches the Rfam family "Bacterial small subunit ribosomal RNA", at positions 97 to 415 of the family's 1533-position model. The record is from RNAcentral.
GGCGAACGGGUGAGUAACACGUGGGUAACCUACCUGGAAGACAGGGAUAACGAUUCGAAAGGGUCGCUAAUACCUGAUAAUAUCUAACAGUCGGAUGGCAGUUAGAAGAAAGGGGAAACCCGCUUUCAGAUGGGCCCGCGUCCCAUCAGCUAGUUGGUAAGGUAAAGGCUUACCAAGGCGACGACGGGUAGCCGGUCUGAGAGGAUGUAUGUCUAUUUUUGGGACUGAGAUACGGCCCAGACUCCUACGGGAGGCAGCAGUUGGGAAUCUUAGGCAAUGGGCGAAAGCCUGACCUAGCGACGCCGCGUGAGGGAAGAAGGC